CCCCACUACACUGUAAGCUCCUUGGAGGCUGUGGUGGUCUGUUACCUCUUUUUAUCUUCUCAGAAUUUAACAUAGUCCUUGUCAUACAAGAAUUGCUUUCUAAUGUUUGAUUGAUUGAUCAAUCUUGUCAACUGUGAAUUUUAGAUUUUCUCCAUUUUGCUUAGUCUUAGAAAUUCUAGCAACCAGGAAUGUAUAUACCCCACUUAAGCAUUAACUGUGAGGAGGAUGGUCUAUGACUACAUGUGCUAGCAUGUGACAAAUCAGAAACAACUGACAGACCCCCCUGGGCUGUCCUAAGUCAAGCUUAAGCUACCAUUGGUACAUGUGAGAUGCAGGAAGUGAUGUAAAGAAUGGUCUAUAUAUUUCGUGUCAUUUCCUCUCUCACUCUCUCUCAUGGAGACGUUGCUCUCUGUCUUGCUUGUGUGGCUUGUGGUAGCAUGGUUUACGUCUUGGCGGUUUGUGAGUGAGGCAAGGCAAUUGAUUUGCAAGGCUGGAAGGCAGCAGCUGCUGCCAAUCACACUAAUGAAGAUGCCAGCUCCUCUCCCACUCUAAGUUUGCCCACUUGCAGCAAAUAAAACCAAGGUAAACACAGUUUCUUGGCUGAUG
This 606-nucleotide long non-coding RNA is filed under the name Monodelphis domestica (gray short-tailed opossum). Its description in RNAcentral is "lncRNA (ENSMODG00000044076.1)". Lineage: Eukaryota; Metazoa; Chordata; Mammalia; Didelphimorphia; Didelphidae. The record is from RNAcentral.